AUGGCGGUGCGUGAACGCGCAGCGGCAGCAAUGGCCGCUCUGGAGCGGCGGGUGCCGAGUCUCGAUGACUUCGCGGGACAGAGCUGGAGCUCCUGGGUGGAACGGGCCGACCUGGCCGCCGCCGACGGGUCUGAGCUGGAGGAGUGCCACAAGAACGGGAAGAAGAAGUUGGACGCCAUGACCCUCAUUAAGGAAGACAUGUCCAUCUUUGGCCACUGCCCUGCCCACGAUGAGUUCUACCUUGUUGUGUGUAACCACUGCAGCCAGGUGGUGAAGCCUCAGGCGUUCCAGAAGCACUGCGAGAGAAGACACGGGCCUCUCAGCAAGCUGUACGCGCGGGCCCAGGCCUCGGCGGGCUCCCAGAAGUGCCACACGGUCAAUGGACAGGGCCCAGCCUGUGGGAGCCAAACUCAAGGCUCAUCCAGCAAAUCCUCCCGGGAGAAAGCCCAGGGGUCCCGGAGCCGGGCCCACCCUGCUCCUGAGAAGGCCCAGAAGGACAACCUCUGCCUCUACGUGCCCGUGGUGAACCUGGAGAAGAUCUCUAGCCUCUCCAAACCCUCGGCUGCCCCCUCUGUCUUCUUGGGCCAACCGGGCACUCCCUCCAAGGACCCCCCGGGGAAAGCCCCCGUAGCUCCCUUCUCCUCCAAGGAGCCCUCGGGGAAGGGCGGCAGCCCACCGGGUGCUGGCGAAGGUCCCAGCCCCAGGGCGGAGAGCAGCCCGGCAGAGAAGGAGUCUGGUGGCACCAGGCUGCCCCCCAAGGCCCACAAGAAGAUGGCACGCAAGGAGUGUGAUCUGAACCGGCAGUGUGGAGUGCUGAACCCGGAAACCAAAAAGAUCUGCACCCGACUGCUGACCUGCAAGAUUCACUCGGUGCACCAGCGGCGCGAGGUCCAGGGCCGAGCCAAGGACUUCGACGUGUUGGUGGCCGAGCUGAAGGCCAGUUCCCGUAAGGGGGAGUCCCCCAAGGAGAAGAGCCCCCCGGCCAAGGAGCUGGGCCCCGAGCGGCUGCCCCAGGAGCCUCUGCCCACGGCCCAGCCUGCCGGGCCACCCGUGGGCACCUUCCCCAGCCGGGUCAAGCAGCUGCAUCCCUCCUGUGGCCUGCCCAGGUCCCGCCUCUCCUCCGAGAGUGAGCUAGAUGAUGCGGGCCCUUGUAGUGGUGACAGGGACCCGGGGCUCUUCCCCUUCCCCCUGCCCAGGGCCGGAGGCCCCGUCUCCAGUGAUGAGAGUGAGGAGGAGGCGGUCCCCGAGGACCCCCACCGCCCCCCGGACUGUCAUUAUGCAACCCGACCCCCAAGGCCGCAGGCGUAUUGCACCUUCGGGAGCCGGCUGGUCAGCCCGGGCUGCUACGUGUUCAACCGCCGGCUGGAUCGGUUCUGCUCGGCGCUCAGCUCCAUGCUGGAGCGGCACCUCAGCUCGCACAUGUGGAAGAAGAUCCCGCCAGCUGCCGAGCCCCCCGCCCACCCUGCCGAUUCACCCCUGGCCGUCCCUUUGAACGCCUCCCCCGGGGGCGGCUGUCCCCGCUCCGCCGGCUCGGCCCACCGGCCGUCCUGCCCGCCCCCGGCCAAGGACAACCCCACCCUGCCGGCCCCCGGGUACCCAGCCGGCUCCCCCAGCGUGGCAGCCGCCUGCAGCCAGGCCGAGUGCACGGGCGGGAGCCAGUCCAUCACCUCCCCGCUGCCCGCCAACACACCGUCGCCCUCCUUCAGCAAGCUGCCCCCCUCCAAGGCCAGCAGACCGCCCAAGGGGAGAGAGGGCACCGAGGCGGAGGCCCCGCCCCGCAAGCGCAAGCCUCCCCCCGCCCCUGCCGACGGCCCGACCGCCUUCAAACGGACCUGCCUCUUGGAACCCCCUGGCAAGGGGAAGCCUACGGGCUGCCGGGCACUGCCCCCCAAGACUAAGCCAGCACUGGGUGUGGGGCUCAAUGGAGCGGUGGGGCCCCGGGUGAAGCGGGUGGGCCCCCUGGACUGUCGGGGGCCCCCACACCCGCCACCUGCCCCCGGGAGGGCCUCGCAGCUGGAGAACCGGGGUGGCUCCGGGCCUCCCGCCAAGGCCCCGCAGCCCAACGGCCUCUCGGAGGAAGAGGAGGCUAAGAAGCAGAAGAACCUGGCCACCUACUGCCGGCCGGCGAAGCCCAAGCACUGCCCCGUGGGCCCCCCCGGCGACUCGAUCUGCUCCGUACGCAGGAAGAAGCCCGGCCCGGCCCUGGGCUUCGAGGAGAAAUGCACCACACUGAAGGCCUCUCUGGGCCACCUCUAGGACUCUGGUGCCUUGGGACUCCACACAUGCACAAUGGUAACCUCGCACAUGCUCAGUAAUCCGUCCGCUCGACGGAGUACAAUUCCCACAAGUUCGGCAUAUUGGAUGCUCUACUGAGCACGUGCAAGGAGAGGACCCAGAAGUCCCCACAUCCUGGAUGUCCAGUUGGGGCCAACCAAAAGAAAAACAGCUGUCUCAGGCCAGUCAAAAGCGCAUUAACGAGAAAGUGCCUGCCCGCUGCGACGGAGCCGUCAGCACCUCCCUCCCCCUCCUGGAUCCGGGCCCCGGGCUGCUGCCGCUUUUUAUAACUUUAUAUUAUUUUUUUUAAGAAAAAAAAAAACUAGAAAAAUACCUCAAGACUCUCCCUGUUCUGUUGCUGCUAAAAAAAAAAAGUUACAAAAAAAAGAGAAAAAAAGCCUGAAGAAAAUCAGUCCCCAUCCUUUUCCCCCACCCCGUCCCCAGGAGGCUGAGACUGCAGGGGCAGCCGGACCCGGACCCCAUUAUUUAUAAAGGUCCCUCUUGUUGGUUUUUGUUCUUUUUUUAAAAAAAAAACAAAAAACAAGAAACGGAAAUGAAACGG
Molecule: RNA transcript, 2836 nt
Organism: Ornithorhynchus anatinus (platypus)
Lineage: Eukaryota; Metazoa; Chordata; Mammalia; Monotremata; Ornithorhynchidae
Gene: ATXN7L2
Gene name: ataxin 7 like 2
Exons: 12
Source: RefSeq, a predicted model, not a curated record